UCCAGAAGGAACCUUUGCUCCUGAUUGUCCAAACGCAAUUCUUGUCCAGAAAACAUGCAAACCAAGAAUUGUGUCUGGACAUCUGUGGCCAAGUCU
Non-coding RNA from Anolis carolinensis (green anole), 96 nucleotides. RefSeq annotates it as microRNA mir-219-1. NCBI's taxonomy places the organism in Eukaryota, Metazoa, Chordata, Lepidosauria, Squamata, Anolidae. The transcript has a single exon. The record is from RefSeq and is marked provisional.